CCUCAUUUAUAGGUAUAUAAGGAGGUGGGGUGAAGAGUACUAAUGAUCCUGGACUCUUAUAGGAUUCUGCCUCCCUUCACAAUUUCAUGUUCCAAAACAUGCCAAAAAAAUAUGGGAUGCCCCUUUCCAUAUUUUUUUUUAUGGUAAAUAAGUUCUCCAAUAGAUCUUCUACAUAAAAUCUCUUUAAAAUGUCAUACAUAUAAGGAGAAAUAAAUUUAUUGGCAUG
RNAcentral lists this long non-coding RNA (226 nucleotides) under Elaeis guineensis (African oil palm). RNAcentral describes it as "long non-coding RNA (EGUI_LNC048015)". Lineage: Eukaryota; Viridiplantae; Streptophyta; Magnoliopsida; Arecales; Arecaceae. The record is from RNAcentral.